RNAcentral lists this ribosomal RNA (306 nucleotides) under uncultured bacterium. RNAcentral's name for it is "bacterial SSU rRNA". It matches the Rfam family "Bacterial small subunit ribosomal RNA", at positions 28 to 334 of the family's 1533-position model. The record is from RNAcentral.
GACGAACGCUGGCGGCGUGCCUAACACAUGCAAGUCGAACGGAGUUAAGUCUUCGGAUUUAACUUAGUGGCGAACGGGUAAGUAACGCGUGAGGAACCUGCCUCUCAGUGGGGGGACAACAGUUGGAAACGACUGCUAAUACCGCAUAAUGUUUCUGGACCGCAUGAUCUGGAAACCAAAGCUUUAUGUGCUGAGAGAUGGCCUCGCGUCUGAUUAGCUAGUUGGUGGGUAACGGCCCACCAAGGCGACGAUCAGUAGCCGGUCUGAGAGGAUGAACGGCCACACUGGGACUGAGAUACGGCCCAG